Molecule: ribosomal RNA, 497 nt
Filed under: uncultured bacterium
Lineage: Bacteria
Description: partial 16S ribosomal RNA
Rfam family: Bacterial small subunit ribosomal RNA
Source: RNAcentral
GAUGAACGCUGGCGGCGUGCCUAAUACAUGCAAGUCGAGCGAACGGACGAGAAGCUUGCUUCUCUGAUGUUAGCGGCGGACGGGUGAGUAACACGUGGAUAACCUACCUAUAAUACUGGGAUAACUUCGGGAAACCGGAGCUAAUACCGGAUAAUAUUUUGAACCGCAUGGUUCAAAAGUGAAAGACGGUCUUGCUGUCACUUAUAGAUGGAUCCGCGCUGCAUUAGCUAGUUGGUAAGGUAACGGCUUACCAAGGCAACGAUGCAUAGCCGACCUGAGAGGGUGAUCGGCCACACUGGAACUGAGACACGGUCCAGACUCCUACGGGAGGCAGCAGUAGGGAAUCUUCCGCAAUGGGCGAAAGCCUGACGGAGCAACGCCGCGUGAGUGAUGAAGGUCUUCGGAUCGUAAAACUCUGUUAUUAGGGAAGAACAUAUGUGUAAGUAACUGUGCACAUCUUGACGGUACCUAAUCAGAAAGCCACGGCUAACUACGUG